GAUGAACGCUAGCGGCAGGCCUAAUACAUGCAAGCCGAACGGCAAGUUUGAUAGCAAUAUUGGACCUAGAGUGGCGCAAGGGUGCGUAACACGUAUGCAACCUGCCCGCGACAGGAGGAUAGCCCCCCGAAAGGGGAAUUAACCCUCCAUAACACCAUGAGAAGGCAUCUGAUUAUGGUUAAACCGCAAGGGGUCGCGGAUGGGCAUGCGGUUGAUUAGCUAGUUGGCGGGGUAAAGGCCCACCAAGGCGGUGAUCAAGAGGGGUUCUGAGAGGAAGGUCCCGCACACUGGCGCUGAGAAACGGGCCAGACUCCGACGGGAGGCAGCAGUAGGGAAUAGUGGACAAUGGUGGCAAGACUGAUCCAGCCAUGCCGCGUGCAGGAAGAAGUCCUUCGGGGGCGUAAACUGCUUUUUCCUGUGGAUAAAAUACCCGUGCGCGGGAAAUUGAAGGUAACAGGGGAAUAAGCCACGGCUAACUACGUG
Molecule: ribosomal RNA, 483 nt
Filed under: uncultured bacterium
Lineage: Bacteria
Description: partial 16S ribosomal RNA
Rfam family: Bacterial small subunit ribosomal RNA
Source: RNAcentral